Molecule: ribosomal RNA, 168 nt
Filed under: uncultured Labrenzia sp.
Lineage: Bacteria; Pseudomonadati; Pseudomonadota; Alphaproteobacteria; Hyphomicrobiales; Stappiaceae
Description: partial 16S ribosomal RNA
Rfam family: Bacterial small subunit ribosomal RNA
Source: RNAcentral
UACGGGAGGCAGCAGUGGGGAAUAUUGGACAAUGGGCGAAAGCCUGAUCCAGCCAUGCCGCGUGAGUGAUGAAGGCCCUAGGGUUGUAAAGCUCUUUCAGCGAGGAGGAUAAUGACGUUACUCGCAGAAGAAGCCCCGGCUAACUUCGUGCCAGCAGCCGCGGUAAUA